Molecule: long non-coding RNA, 1648 nt
Filed under: Drosophila guanche
Lineage: Eukaryota; Metazoa; Arthropoda; Insecta; Diptera; Drosophilidae
Source: RNAcentral
CCUUGACUGACAUUCACCUUGCAUAAAUAAUUACUAACAUAAAAAAUACUAACAUUCAAAAAAAUACACAGACUCUAUUUUUCUUUUGCCCGAGGUGGCAUCCCCAAAUUUUAUGUAAACAAAGCUGAAAGUGGUAUGCAAAUUUAAAUGAUUAACUUAAUACUCUCAAAUUCAUAGUGCACAACUAAUAAUUUAACGUACGUAGAGAUUAACUGUACAACCUCUACGCCAGGUAAGUAUUGGAGCAAAGCUGUAACAAGUUACAUAUUACGACGUGGCGAUUUCCCCCUUGUAAAGGCGGGUGGCCAAAUAAUUCCCCUCUACCUAAGGGUAGAGCGGUAACUUAAAACCUCAAAAAAAAAAAAUGAUUAACUUAGUCUUUAAGAGACACUGCAAGCACGUGGGGAACAUAACCUCUACGCCAGGUAAGUAUUGGAGCAAAGCUGUAACAAGUUACAUAUUACGACGUGGCGAUUUCCCCCUUGUAAAGGCGGGUGGCCAAAUAAUUCCCCUCUACCUAAGGGUAGAGCGGUAACUUAAAACCUCAAAAAAAAAAAAAAAAAAAUGAUUAACUUAAACUAAAAAGAGCUCUUGUUAGUAGUUAUUGCAUGAUAUGUAUAAGUUGGGAAAAGGGGGUGGUAUUCGGGGGGAAAAAUAGACUCCGCUUACAUGGAUUAAUUAAACGGACCUAUACGAAAACCUAUUCUAACAUAUUUUUGGUUGUUGUUCUUUUUUUGUAUUUUAUUUUAUUUUAUUUUAUUUUUUUGUGACGACUUGGGUUUUGAACUAUCAAGUCCAAAUCAAACAAAAUUACAGGUGCUAAGUGUGAAUUGAUUAAGUGUUCCGGGAAUGAAUAUACCAAGUGCGAAUAAGGUUGUAGUGGGUAUGAGUGGGUAUGAUGUAUGGGCGAUGGGGCUUAUUUUCUGUGUAUCAUUUUAAUAAUAGGGUUAAUAUGGGUGACUAUCUCUAUGUGAAUACGUGCGGGUUUUUUUUGUGGGAGUGCUGUGUGUGUGAUGAGUGUGAUGUGUGGUGUGAUGUGUGUGUGAUGUGUGUGAUGGUGCUGAUGCUGUAUGCUGCGGUGUGCGUGGCGCCGGUGCGUGGUGCGUAUGUGAUGUGUGUGUGAUGAGAGUGUCGCGGGUGUGAUGGGUGGUGCGCUGUGCCGCUGCGGUGUGCGAGGCGCCGGUGCGUUGUGCGGGGCGCCGGUGCGUUGUGCGGUGUGUUCCCUUAGAUUGGGCACUCUGCUCCUCCCGAGGUGCUCCGGCCGUGCCAGCCUUGGCGCUGACCCUGCUGUCGGCUCUCUGCGUGUUGUCCGCUGCUGCCGUCUUCUCCUUCCAGCGCCGUCGUCGCCUCGCUUCACGAUUUUCGGUUUCGUUUUGUUAGCUUUUGGGCACUGAUUUUAAUUUUCUCCUUUUUUUUUCUUUUACUUUAGAUUGCCGACCGACCUCUUGAAAUUCUUCCCGGAAACUGACCUUCUCAAUAUAACCUUCACGGCCACGUUCCCUUCUAUCCUUCUUGUCACCUUGCAACCCUUUUUCAGCCUCCUCGGAUCCACAGCAGAGGCCGCUGUCUGGUCUUCUUCUCCAGCCCUGUCGGUUAUCGGCUACCUCAGAAAGCCGUCCAUAACACCACACUCUCGUUUAAAGGUCCU